CUGUGUCCCCGCCGCAUGAUAAGCAUAUCAAUAAGCGGAGGAAAGAAACCAACAGGGAUUGCCCUAGUAACGGCGAGUGAAGCGGCAACAGCUCAGAUUUGAAAUCUGGCGCCUUUGGCGUCCGAGUUGUAAUCUGUAGAGGAUGCUUUUGGGUAGCCACCGGUCUAAGUCCCCUGGAACGGGGCGUCACAGAGGGUGAGAAUCCCGUAUGUGACCGGAAGGGCGCCCUCCACAUAGCUCCUUCGACGAGUCGAGUUGUUUGGGAAUGCAGCUCUAAAUGGGAGGUAAAUUCCUUCUAAAGCUAAAUACCGGCCAGAGACCGAUAGCGCACAAGUAGAGUGAUCGAAAGAUGAAAAGCACUUUGGAAAGAGAGUUAAAAAGCACGUGAAAUUGUUGAAAGGGAAGCGCUUGCAACCAGACUUGUUGGCGGUGUUCCGCCGGUCUUCUGACCGGUCUACUCACCGUCUGCAGGCCAGCAUCAUCUGGGGCCGCUGGAUAAAAGCGAGGGGAAUGUGGCUCCCCCGGGAGUGUUAUAGCCCCUCGUGCAAUACAGCGAGCCUCGGGUGAGGUCCGCGCUUCGGCUAGGAUGCUGGCGUAAUGGUCGUAAGCGGCCCGUCUUGAAACACGGACCAAGGAGUCUAACAUCUAUGCGAGUGUUCGGGUGUCAAACCCCUACGCGUAAUGAAAGUGAACGGAGGUGGGAGCCUUAGGGUGCACCAUCGACCGAUCCUGAUGUCUUCGGAUGGAUUUGAGUAAGAGCAUAGCUGUUGGGACCCGAAAGAUGGUGAACUAUGCCUGGAUAGGGUGAAGCCAGAGGAAACUCUGGUGGAGGCUCGCAGCGGUUCUGACGUGCAAAUCGAUCGUCAAAUUUGGGUAUAGGGGCGAAAGACUAAGCGAACCCAUCUAGUGC
Molecule: ribosomal RNA, 910 nt
Filed under: Phragmocapnias betle
Lineage: Eukaryota; Fungi; Ascomycota; Dothideomycetes; Capnodiales; Capnodiaceae
Description: partial large subunit ribosomal RNA
Rfam family: Eukaryotic large subunit ribosomal RNA
Source: RNAcentral